This is a non-coding RNA of Vicugna pacos (alpaca), 398 nucleotides long. Lineage: Eukaryota; Metazoa; Chordata; Mammalia; Artiodactyla; Camelidae. The record is from RefSeq and is a predicted model, not a curated record.
GAGCGGGGUUGCCUGGCAACCUGCGUCCGAGCGCGCGGAACGCUGCGCCUCCCCGGGGACAGUCCGGAGUCCGCGCUGUGGAAGAGGAGGAAUACUUGCCGGAGCUGAUGGCGGAGAAAGAGCCUGGACCCAUGGUUUGAGCACCGUCGCACCUUUUGGCCCAAGUCUUUCCUAUGGAUGGUCUUGGGAUAAACCUAGAUUAAAUGAUGCAAGUUCAACCGUGUUUGUGAAUGUGGAAGAGGCCAAAGUGCUUAUCAGUUUAUUUGAAGUGUGGUGAUUGGGGGCCCUGGGAGGUCUGGUCCCUGGCGUCGCUCCACAGUUGAUCAGCAGUUUUACCAAGUGUGCAUUUUCUUUCGUGUACUUGUAUUGUUAAAAGAGAUUUCGUUCUCAGAGGAACA